CGGGAAUUUUCGGCAAUGGGGGGAACCCUGACCGAGCAACGCCGCGUGAGGGAAGAAGGUCUUCGGAUCGUAAACCUUUGUCAUCAGGGACGAUCAUGACGGUACCUGAGGAGGAAGCCACGGCUAACUACGUGCCAGCAGCCGCGGUAAUACGUAGGUGGCGAGCGUUGUCCGGAAUUACUGGGCGUAAAGGGCGUGUAGGUGGCGUUUUAAGUCAGGCGUGAAAACCCACGGCUUAACCGUGGGCCUGCGCUUGAAACUGGGGGGCUUGAGGGCAGGAGAGGAAAGCGGAAUUCCCAGUGUAGCGGUGAAAUGCGUAGAUAUUGGGAGGAACACCAGUGGCGAAGGCGGCUUUCUGGACUGACCCUGACACUGAGGCGCGAAAGCCAGGGGAGCGAACG
RNAcentral lists this ribosomal RNA (401 nucleotides) under uncultured Bacillota bacterium. Its description in RNAcentral is "bacterial SSU rRNA". It matches the Rfam family "Bacterial small subunit ribosomal RNA", at positions 356 to 774 of the family's 1533-position model. The record is from RNAcentral. Lineage: Bacteria; Bacillati; Bacillota.